GUUACUUUUGUAACCUUUAAGGUGAUUUUUGAACUGCAUUGGUUACUUUUAGGUUACACUAAUGAAAAGGUUACUUUUAGGUGAUUUUUCCGGAUUUGUAGAAUUCACUUCGAAUUUUUUUUAAUAAAAGCAACGUGAAACGAAACGCUCGUUUUAGAAUUUUUCAUGUUGGUAAGCUUCGUUAGCAUUGGAACAACACGUUGUACUUUUCCUCUUUUACACUUACACCACUUCUAUCUCGCUCACUCGCUUUCGCUUGACCAGACGGAUCAGAUCGGAUCUUCGGUCAGAUUCAUUCAUUCGUUGUUGUUUGUUUGCCGGCCGCCCCGCGCCGCCACUUAAAUUUGUUGUCAUCGAAAGAUAACCUAAAGUUUGUAUUUUGUGAUUUUAUUGAUAAUUAAUAAUUACAAUAAGACAUAAUUUCCUACUGGACAUUUACUGAAAGCUUGAUAUUUGACGAGUGGCACUUCAGUCAGAAAUUUAUCUACAAGCUUUAGAUUAGGCGAAACAACUAUUAGGUCAAUAAUUAAGGAAGUGUGCAAAGCUGUUAUUGACAAAAUGAUGAGUGUUUAUAUGCCAACGCCUACAGCUGAAGAUUGGGAAAAAAUUACGGAAGGGUUUAAUGACAGGUGGAAUUUCCCAAACUGCAUUGGUGCCAUAGAUGGCAAGCAUAUAAAUAUAAUAGCUUCACCCAACAGCGGAUCGCUCUACUACAACUAUAAAAAACAUUUUUCGAUAGUUCUCUUGGCCAUAGUCGAUGAUAGAUACAGAUUUACAGUUGUUGACAUCGGUGCUUAUGGCAAAAACAGCGACGGUGGUAU
This is a long non-coding RNA of Amyelois transitella, 821 nucleotides long. RefSeq lists it as uncharacterized. NCBI's taxonomy places the organism in Eukaryota, Metazoa, Arthropoda, Insecta, Lepidoptera, Pyralidae. The record is from RefSeq and is a predicted model, not a curated record. The transcript is spliced from 2 exons.